Molecule: ribosomal RNA, 312 nt
Filed under: Triticum aestivum (bread wheat)
Lineage: Eukaryota; Viridiplantae; Streptophyta; Magnoliopsida; Poales; Poaceae
Description: partial small subunit ribosomal RNA
Source: RNAcentral
AUGGAGGGCGACGAGAUCUUUGCAAGCCUAGACUCGCUCUGGUUCCACUCCAGCGUCCUCCACCGGCGGCCGCGCUUCAAGCAGUGCUCCGAAGAGUUGAAGCCGCCCAGGAAGCAGGAUCAACAUCCCAAAUGCGUCGACGACGAGGUGACGCUGGGGGCGAGAAGAGCGGAUCCAGGAAGGAGGGCGCUCCAAGAGCGCAUCGAGACAUGGCAGGAGGAGCAGUGGCGGCAGCCGACGCUCGUCAUUGCGGCACCGCCACGGUGCUCGCCCGUCGGCGAUGGUGUCGCCAUGAAGGCUCAUCUCAGGUGA